GCUGACAUCUGUCUUAAAGGACCUGAGAAACUUUUCCCUCUAGAAACUCGUCGAAAGCCUGUUAUCAGAACCACAAGAAGAGGAACACGUGUUUCCGGUUUUCCUGCUCUUACCAAGAAGACGUUGCUCUUGAUGCUGGAAUGCCCUGAAACUGCACCACUUUGUGAUGACAUCAAACAUCAGAGAAACUACAUCCAAGGUGCCUUGGGCCUAUUUAGAAUGUACUAGGCUGUUAAAUGAG
Long non-coding RNA from Patiria miniata (bat star), 241 nucleotides. RefSeq lists it as uncharacterized. The record is from RefSeq and is a predicted model, not a curated record. The transcript has 3 exons. Lineage: Eukaryota; Metazoa; Echinodermata; Asteroidea; Valvatida; Asterinidae.